RNAcentral lists this ribosomal RNA (405 nucleotides) under uncultured bacterium. RNAcentral describes it as "partial 16S ribosomal RNA". It matches the Rfam family "Bacterial small subunit ribosomal RNA", at positions 30 to 526 of the family's 1533-position model. The record is from RNAcentral.
AUUGAACGCUGGCGGCAGGCCUAACACAUGCAAGUCGAACGAGUGGCGGACGGGUGAGUAAUGUCUGGGAAACUGCCUGAUGGAGGGGGAUAACUACUGGAAACGGUAGCUAAUCCCGCAUACCAUCAGCUUUGCUCAGAUGGGAUUAGCUUGUUGGUGGGGUAACGGCUCACCAAGGCGACGAUCCCUAGCUGGUCUGAGAGGCUGACCGGCCACAAUGGAACUGAGUCACGGUCCAGACUCCUACUGGAGGCAGCAGUGGGGAAUAUUGCACAAUGGGCGCAAGCCUGAUGCAGCCAUGCCGGGGGUAUGAAGAAGGCCUGCGGGUAGUAAAGUACUUUCAGCGGGGAGGCGUUACCCGCAGAAGAAGCACCGGCUAACUCCGUGCCAGCAGCCGCGUAAUUC